AGCAAGAGAAUCGCGUCGGAAGUAGCGCGCACAAUUCGUAUAAUGAUGCACUAUAAAAUGCGCACUACUUCCGACGUGACGAUUGUCGUUGGUUGGAAUUUCCAGUUUUUAACUGUAACGAUAAUAUCGCCUUGUAAACUGAGUUGAGCACCCCUGUUUUGUAAGAAACCGUGAAAUUUUUUUGAAAAGUUUGCCAAUUAUCAUUAAAUAAUGCAAAUGCUAAUAGCAGUAAUUUCUACAAUCCCAUGUCUAUAUACUACCGAAUAUCUUUCAACGCGAUGCGAAUUGGUAAUAUUGCUUUGCAGAAAUAAAUGUGUGUGCCGUAUGACAUCUUCGAACCGUAAAAUCUUCAUAUAUCAAUUUAUUGGUUAUCUUCAUUUUAGUUUUAUUUAGUUUCAAUAUCUCAUACUUAAGGUAGAUCGCAAAAAAUCUCAAAGAUAAUAGGCGAUGGUGCAAAGUCCAAUAGAAAUAAUAUCUAUGUACAUAUAUUGAUUCACAAUCAGUUAUCACACAUUUUUAUUUUCCGUUUGGAAAAAAAAUCUGACGUAACUAUUUUUGAUAUAUACCUACCAUGGAACAGGCCGAAUCAUGCAGUUAUGAUUUGCGGCAAAACUCAUUUUUCAACAAUCUGCAAGCGAGGACUCCAUGUAUCUCCUCCUGUGACCAUGACAUGCAAUUCCAUUGCUUCUAUUGAACGCUAUUUCACCAAGUGUAUUGCCUACCCAACCCAGUGGAAGAAACGAGGCGUCCAUCAAUAUUUGCAUUACUUCAGCCGUCGUCACUGAACCAGGCAGGUGUCACCAGAAGACAAUAAAGAAUUCAGCGGGUCACAGUAAAUCAACUUGUUACAGCCCGCUCUAGCACAGCCUCUUUCUUGGCGCCUGUCAAUGUUGCAAACCUAGGACACAAUACCCAUAAAGAUCCUCGUACCCCUGGAUACGAUAGAGAUUAGCGUCAGGGUGUCGUGCCUCGACAAUGACUGCCAAUUUGUAUCUGUUCGCUGCAUUGGAUAACGAGUACGCACUGCUCCACGUGAAAAGGAGGGGUCAUAAGAGCAUCAAUAUGAGGCACAACGUCCGAUAGUGUUACAGCAUCAUCUAGUUCGAGACUAAGUGACGCACUCGUGUAGUUUCGGAUAUUAUGACGAAUAUGAUCUGAGACGUCUUGACGCAGCUCUUAUGUGCCAUAAUAUAAGGAAUCUUGUAAGGAAAACUGUCAACUGGAACAGAAUGCUCUAGCCCUGACGGAGAGAAUCAUGGAUUGCAUUAUGUAGCGAACGAGUUAUUGUUAUUCGGACAACUUUGAAACUUCAAAUUGAACCUAAUGGUUCGUCAACGGAGGAACAUGCCGUUGAUUCCUUUACAGCUAUUCGUUUCAAGUCUAAUUUUCAGUUCAACGGAUUUGAACGUCGAUUAUGCUCGGAUGUGUGAAGUUUGCCGACAGAGCUAGUAUGAUCAGUUGCAGUUCAUGGAGGCCGAAGACGAUGCAUCUGGACUUUCCUCCGAUUUGCAACAUGCACAAGAAGUGGUUUUGCAACGGCCGCGAUAGCACAACCUGAUCCCGUAAAUCCCCUGGUCUGGACGAAGCACAACGAAGUUAUCCUGCAGGGCGAUGAACCACGCGAAUAGAUCGUGCUACUCGUUCUUAGCUUGAGGUUCAUCCCUGCCAAAGUAGAUUUCGUUGGUGUUUUUAAGUCCAGACAAUCGUGUGCAUCACAGAAAUUCAUCAAUGAUAUGAAUUGGACCCAGUAGUGGAGACCUCUCAUUGCUAGUUGGUUAACAUUCUCACUUAACAAGAACCACAGCGAGCCCGAAAGGUUUUAGUUUCCAUGACAUGGAGAAACGCGUUGAUAAAAAGCCAUUUUUUCAUAAAACAGACAAAUCGACAUCAUUUUGAAUUUUAGUUCGCGCUUUAUGAAAUCUUCGGAAGCUUUUUCGGCAAUUCAGAAGCCCCUCUUGGUUAUGUUCAGUUCUUGGGAGCGAGCCCAAGCAGCAACUAACAACAUGCCUGCCCUGGUCGGAAUGUCCAUGAACAUGCGAAUUUACCACCGCGCCUAAUUUAGCAGUAACAGGCGGUGUAGAGGACAAGCAAAUCAGCCGAAUCACACCCGUGGUGCAACCGGCACCAAAUCGAUACAACAGCCACCCGAGAUUCCGUCUCGCAGCCGCCUUCGUAACGGUUAAUUUCCGAAACCGAUGUUAAAACGCUCAAAUAUUUUAUAUGAAUCUAAUAAAUGAUUCGA
This is a long non-coding RNA of Topomyia yanbarensis, 2242 nucleotides long. RefSeq lists it as uncharacterized. NCBI's taxonomy places the organism in Eukaryota, Metazoa, Arthropoda, Insecta, Diptera, Culicidae. The record is from RefSeq and is a predicted model, not a curated record. The transcript is spliced from 6 exons.